AUAUAGACUUACUAAACCGAUGCAAACUACGAAUACCAAUGAGUGCAGCAUAGGAGACACACUAUGGGUGCUAACAUCCAUGGUGGAAAGGGAAAGAACCCAGACCGUCAGAUAAGGUCCCAAAAUCUUAGUUAAGUGGAAAACGAGGUGGGAAGACUAAGACAGCUAGGAGGUUGGCUUAGAAGCAGCCAUCCUUUAAAGAAAGCGUAAUAGCUCACUAGUCUAGUUCACCUGCGCGGAAAAUAUAACGGGGCUAAAACUAAGUGCCGAAGCUACGGGCUUAUAUAUUAAUAAAUAUAAGCGGUAGAGGAGCGUUGUGUAAGUCUGUGAAGGUAUAUUGUAAAAUAUGCUGGAGAUAUCACAAGUGCGAAUGCUGACAUGAGUAACGAUAAGGGAUGUGAGAAACAUCCCCGCCGAAAAACUAAGGGUUUCUGUUCAACGGUAAUCGGAGCAGAGUUAGUCGGUCCUAAGGUGAGGCUGAAAAGCGUAAUCGAUGGAAAACGGGUUAAUAUUCCCGUACCAUAUGUAAUUGCGAUGGGGGGACGGAGAAGGCUAGACGAGCCCAGCGUUGGUAGUCUGGGUGAAAGUAUGUAGGUUUAGAAAUUAGGUAAAUCCGAUUUCUUAAGAAAACUAAGGUAUGAGACGAAAAGUCGUUGAUGUCAUGCUUCCAGGAAAAGCCUCUAAGCUUCAGAUUACAUAUGACCGUACCAUAAACCGACACAGGUGGUUAGGUAGAGUAUACUAAGGCGUUUGAGAGAACUCGGGUGAAGGAACUAGGCAAAAUGGCACCGUAACUUCGGGAGAAGGUGCGCCGAAUUAUUGUAUAACCUAUAAACAGGGAAAGCAAGAAUCGGUCUCAGAUACCAGGUGGCUGCAACUGUUUAUUAAAAACACAGCACUCUGCUAACGCGUAAGCGGACGUAUAGGGUGUGACGCCUGCCCGGUGCUGGAAGGUUAAGAGGAGAUGUGCAAGCAUUGAAUUGAAGCCCCAGUAAACGGCGGCCGUAACUAUAACGGUCCUAAGGUAGCGAAAUUCCUUGUCGGGUAAGUUCCGACCUGCACGAAUGGCGUAAUGAUGGCCACACUGUCUCCAUCCGAGACUCAGUGAAAUUGAAAUUGCUGUGAAGAUGCAGUAUUCCCGCGGCUAGACGGAAAGACCCCGUGAACCUUUACUAUAGCUUCAUAUUGAAAGUGGGUAUUAUUUGUGUAGAAUAGCUGGGAGACCAUGAAGUAAAAACGCAAGUUUUUAUGGAGUCAACAUUGAAAUA
RNAcentral lists this ribosomal RNA (1268 nucleotides) under Candidatus Portiera aleyrodidarum (primary endosymbiont of Bemisia tabaci). RNAcentral's name for it is "partial 23S ribosomal RNA". It matches the Rfam family "Bacterial large subunit ribosomal RNA", at positions 928 to 2199 of the family's 2925-position model. Lineage: Bacteria; Pseudomonadati; Pseudomonadota; Gammaproteobacteria; Johnevansiales (SeqCode); Johnevansiaceae (SeqCode). The record is from RNAcentral.